RNAcentral lists this ribosomal RNA (402 nucleotides) under uncultured bacterium. RNAcentral describes it as "partial 16S ribosomal RNA". It matches the Rfam family "Bacterial small subunit ribosomal RNA", at positions 355 to 774 of the family's 1533-position model. The record is from RNAcentral.
UGGGGAAUCUUGCGCAAUGGGCGAAAGCCUGACGCAGCCAUGCCGCGUGAAUGAUGAAGGUCUUAGGAUUGUAAAAUUCUUUCACCGGGGACGAUAAUGACGGUACCCGGAGAAGAAGCCCCGGCUAACUUCGUGCCAGCAGCCGCGGUAAUACGAAGGGGGCUAGCGUUGCUCGGAAUUACUGGGCGUAAAGGGAGCGUAGGCGGAUAGUUUAGUCAGAGGUGAAAGCCCAGGGCUCAACCUUGGAAUUGCCUUUGAUACUGGCUAUCUUGAGUAUGGAAGAGGUAUGUGGAACUCCGAGUGUAGAGGUGAAAUUCGUAGAUAUUCGGAAGAACACCAGUGGCGAAGGCGACAUACUGGUCCAUUACUGACGCUGAGGCUCAAAAGCGUGGGGAGCAAACA